UAGGGAAUCUUCGGCAAUGGGGGGAACCCUGACCGAGCAACGCCGCGUGAGUGAAGAAGGUUUUCGGAUCGUAAAGCUCUGUUGUUAAGGAAGAACGAGUGUGAGAAUGGAAAGUUCAUGCUGUGACGGUACUUAACCAGAAAGGGACGGCUAACUACGUGCCAGCAGCCGCGGUAAUACGUAGGUCCCGAGCGUUGUCCUGAUUUAUUGGGCGUAAAGCGAGCGCAGGCGGUUAGAAAAGUCUGAAGUGAAAGGCAGUGGCUCAACCAUUGUAGGCUUUGGAAACUGUUUAACUUGAGUGCAGAAGGGGAGAGUGGAAUUCCAUGUGUAGCGGUGAAAUGCGUAGAUAUAUGGAGGAACACCGGUGGCGAAAGCGGCUCUCUGGUCUGUAACUGACGCUGAGGCUCGAAAGCGUGGGGAGCGAACAGG
This 429-nucleotide ribosomal RNA is filed under the name Verrucomicrobiota bacterium. RNAcentral describes it as "Verrucomicrobia bacterium partial 16S ribosomal RNA". It matches the Rfam family "Bacterial small subunit ribosomal RNA", at positions 355 to 776 of the family's 1533-position model. Lineage: Bacteria; Pseudomonadati; Verrucomicrobiota. The record is from RNAcentral.